CCUCCCUAAAAAAGGUCCUUGAUUUCCCAGAGAUCCUGCUCCAACGACGCCAUGAGGGACGGGAUUGCUUCCAAUGCUUGGUCGUGUUGUGUCUUCGCAUCUGACGAACCAAUUGUUGACUGCCUCUCUGACCAUGGGGAGCAGAGGGGGCGGCGACGCGGAUUGACCUGGAGCCGGCCACGGAGCUGGCGCGGAAGGGGGUCACUCUGCUGCUCCUCGAGGUGCCCCAGGUUCAGAUGGUGCCCCCGGGGCCUGCCCUUCGUCUACUACUGCUCCCCCAGCAGGCCGGGGACACUGGUAACUUUCACCAGGAGCAGAGACGGGGUCUCUUGGACAAAAAAGAAGAUUGGGGCUGCCUGUAUGAAGAUCACGGUCGGCACUACCACUAGCAGAAGCUGAGAAGCAGUAGAGGCGGAGGAAGACGACAACAACUGAAAAGGCUGGAGUGGCGGAAGACAUCGCACCGGCGGCCGAAGCGGACGACGCAUGUCCAACUCCCACAUCGAAGUGGGUUGCCGCGGCGGGCGCGAGGAAGUGCCGAGGACGCGAGCAGGACGAAUACGAGGUGCCUCCCGUUAGCCGUGGAGCCGCAGCGCAGGUGAGCCUUCGUCGCCGGCUGAGCCCUUAGCUGGCUGGGCCCGUGGGCGACGGGGGAGACGGUGGCUAGGGCCCGCGGUGCCUGCGGUUGACAGGGGUGGAAGAAGAGACCUGGAUUGAUUAGCAUGAGAUCUAAAAGGAUAGGGUUUUAUUGUAAAAUUACAAUUAAACUACGUUGACGACAUUCUUUUU
Long non-coding RNA from Hordeum vulgare subsp. vulgare (domesticated barley), 789 nucleotides. RefSeq lists it as uncharacterized. The record is from RefSeq and is a predicted model, not a curated record. Lineage: Eukaryota; Viridiplantae; Streptophyta; Magnoliopsida; Poales; Poaceae. The transcript is spliced from 2 exons.